RNAcentral lists this ribosomal RNA (253 nucleotides) under uncultured bacterium. RNAcentral describes it as "partial 16S ribosomal RNA". It matches the Rfam family "Bacterial small subunit ribosomal RNA", at positions 524 to 776 of the family's 1533-position model. The record is from RNAcentral.
UACGUAGGGGGCUAGCGUUGUCCGGAAUCAUUGGGCGUAAAGCGCGUGUAGGCGGUCCGGUAAGUCCGCUGUGAAAGCCAGGGGCUCAACCCUUGGAUGCCGGUGGAUACUGUCGGGCUUGAGUACGGAAGAGGCGAGUGGAAUUCCUGGUGUAGCGGUGAAAUGCGUAGAUAUCAGGAGGAACACCAAUUGCGAAGGCAGCUCGCUGGGACGUUACUGACGCUGAGACGCGAAAGCGUGGGGAGCAAACAGG